Molecule: small nucleolar RNA, 83 nt
Organism: Cannabis sativa
Lineage: Eukaryota; Viridiplantae; Streptophyta; Magnoliopsida; Rosales; Cannabaceae
Product: small nucleolar RNA R12
Exons: 1
Source: RefSeq, a predicted model, not a curated record
UUUGGAGUGAUGAAAUAAAUCAUUCGGAUUCCCAAUGAUUAAUUUUCUAUUAUGAUAUUAACAACCAUCUACUUCUGACUAUU